UACGUAGGGACCAAGCGUUGUUCGGAUUUAUUGGGCGUAAAGAGCGUGUAGGCGGCCAUACAGGUCCGUUGUGAAAACUCGAGGCUCAACCUCGAGACGCCGAUGGAAACCAUCUGACUAGAGUCCGGAAGAGGAGAGUGGAAUUCCUGGUGUAGCGGUGAAAUGCGCAGAUAUCAAGAGGAACACCUAUUGCGAAGGCAGCUCGCUGGGACGUAACUGACGCUGAGACGCGAAAGCGUGGGGAGCAAACAGG
This 253-nucleotide ribosomal RNA is filed under the name uncultured bacterium. RNAcentral describes it as "partial 16S ribosomal RNA". It matches the Rfam family "Bacterial small subunit ribosomal RNA", at positions 524 to 776 of the family's 1533-position model. The record is from RNAcentral.